UCGUGUUGUGAAAUGUUGGGUUAAGUCCCGCAACGAGCGCAACCCUUAUCCUUUGUUGCCAGCGGUCCGGCCGGGAACUCAAAGGAGACUGCCAGUGAUAAACUGGAGGAAGGUGGGGAUGACGUCAAGUCAUCAUGGCCCUUACGACCAGGGCUACACACGUGCUACAAUGGCGCAUACAAAGAGAAGCGACCUCGCGAGAGCAAGCGGACCUCAUAAAGUGCGUCGUAGUCCGGAUUGGAGUCUGCAACUCGACUCCAUGAAGUCGGAAUCGCUAGUAAUCGUGGAUCAGAAUGCCACGGUGAAUACGUUCCCGGGCCUUGUACACACCGCCCGUCACACCAUGGGAGUGGGUUGCAAAAGAAGUAGGUAGCUUAACCUUCGGGAGGGCGCUUACCACUUUGUGAUUCAUGACUGGGGUGAAGUCGUAACAAGGUAACCGUAGGGGAACCUGCGGUUGGAUCACCUCCUU
Molecule: ribosomal RNA, 472 nt
Filed under: Escherichia coli
Lineage: Bacteria; Pseudomonadati; Pseudomonadota; Gammaproteobacteria; Enterobacterales; Enterobacteriaceae
Description: bacterial SSU rRNA
Rfam family: Bacterial small subunit ribosomal RNA
Source: RNAcentral